This 447-nucleotide ribosomal RNA is filed under the name uncultured bacterium. RNAcentral describes it as "bacterial SSU rRNA". It matches the Rfam family "Bacterial small subunit ribosomal RNA", at positions 355 to 825 of the family's 1533-position model. The record is from RNAcentral.
UCGGGAAUUUUGGGCAAUGGGCGAAAGCCUGACCCAGCAACGCCGCGUGAAGGAUGAAGUAUUUCGGUAUGUAAACUUCGAAAGAAUGGGAAGAAUAAAUGACGGUACCAUUUAUAAGCUCCGGCUAACUACGUGCCAGCAGCCGCGGUAAUACGUAGGGAGCAAGCGUUGUUCGGAUUUACUGGGCGUAAAGGGCGCGUAGGCGGCGCGGUAAGUCACUUGUGAAAUCUCUGAGCUUAACUCAGAACGGCCAAGUGAUACUGCAGUGCUAGAGUGCAGAAGGGGCAAUCGGAAUUCUUGGUGUAGCGGUGAAAUGCGUAGAUAUCAAGAGGAACACCUGAGGUGAAGACGGGUUGCUGGGCUGACACUGACGCUGAGGCGCGAAAGCCAGGGGAGCAAACGGGAUUAGAUACCCGAGUAGUCCCUGAGCGGGCUGGCAAGGCGCAU